GCUCCAGGGGCAGAACGGCGGGCAGACUUUCUCUGGGUGAAGUCGAAGCUUCUUGGGCUACCCUCAUGCUCUGAGUCAGAGUUCCUUUACAGGUGGACCUGAGAGGUGACUCACCAACUCCUGCCCUGGACCCUCCUGCGCCACUGAACCCCCUGACCUGGGGGCCUCGGAACCUAGGGCUCAGGAAGUGGGGCGGCCGUGGGUCCCAUCAGGCUUUCCCCUCGGAUCCUCUCCAGGAUGAACCAGGACUUACCUGAGGUUACCAAGUGAACUUCUGGGAAAAGUCCAAUUCUCAGAUGCUAGAUGUCUUCCAAAAAUGAAGCAAAUUUGUAACUUA
This is a long non-coding RNA of Homo sapiens (human), 337 nucleotides long. RefSeq lists it as uncharacterized. The transcript has 2 exons. The record is from RefSeq and is a predicted model, not a curated record. Lineage: Eukaryota; Metazoa; Chordata; Mammalia; Primates; Hominidae.